RNAcentral lists this ribosomal RNA (525 nucleotides) under Hylobates lar (common gibbon). RNAcentral's name for it is "partial 16S ribosomal RNA". It matches the Rfam family "Bacterial large subunit ribosomal RNA", at positions 1830 to 2582 of the family's 2925-position model. The record is from RNAcentral. Lineage: Eukaryota; Metazoa; Chordata; Mammalia; Primates; Hylobatidae.
UCUAGCAUUACCAGUAUUAGAGGCACCGCUGCCCAGUGACACAUGUUCAACGGCCGCGGUACCCUAACCGUGCAAAGGUAGCAUAAUCACUUGUUCCUUAAAUGGGGACUUGUAUGAAUGGCUCCACGAGGGUUCAGCUGUCUCUUACUUUUAACCAGUGAAAUUGACCUGUCCGUGAAGAGGCGGACAUAACCUAACAAGACGAGAAGACCCUAUGGAGCUUUAGUCUAUCAAUGCAAACAACAUUCAAUAAACCAACAGGUCAUAAAUUACCAAACCUGCAUCGAAGACUUGGUUGGGGCGACCUCGGAGCAUAGACUAACCUCCGAGCAGUAUAUGCUAAGACCACACCAGUCAAACGAACUCCAUGUGCAAUUGACCCAAUAACUUGAUCAACGGAACAAGUUACCCUAGGGAUAACAGCGCAAUCCUAUUCUAGAGUCCAUAUCAACAAUAGGGUUUACGACCUCGAUGUUGGAUCAGGACAUCCCGAUGGUGCAGCCGCUAUCAAAGGUUCGUUUGUUC